UCACUAUAAGCGUGACGGUGAUGACGAUGAUGACGGUGUUCGUGGGAUAGGGUAAAGGGGUAUAUCAAAAACAUCGUCAUCACCGUCAGCAUCGUCAUUCUAC
This 103-nucleotide unclassified non-coding RNA is filed under the name Gemmiger formicilis. RNAcentral describes it as "microRNA mir-598". Lineage: Bacteria; Bacillati; Bacillota; Clostridia; Eubacteriales; Oscillospiraceae. The record is from RNAcentral.